UGUUGUCUGAAUAUUGAAGUCUAGAAAGGCUAGAAAUCAUUUCCAGCCAAAUAUGAAAACCAUGAGAUCAUUGAGGACCCAACCUUAAGCAUCUUACCUUAAUGGAGAAGCCUCAUUCAGUUUUAUAUUAUGCAUUGACAUCUGGUUGUUCAACUUGUUAGUAGACGUGUCUAAUUUUCAAUCCUUGUUUGCAUAUUGCUUCAAAGUAUAAUCACAAACCUAGCUCUCCUUUCUUCUGUUCAGAUUGAGCUGAGAUUGUAGCCCUCUUGGUUGGCCUUAGAGAGAGUAAGUGGAUGGAGAUGACAUGCAUUGUAUUGAGCGUUAUAAGGUAGUCAUCUCGUGGAGGAGUAUUGAGUAAGGAUUUGCAGUAUUACACCUUGUGCAUGAUGUUUUGACAUUUUUGGUGGAGUUCCGAAGGAGAUUUCUCAGGGUUUUUUUCUUUUCCUUUUUCCUAAAAGGAGAAUCAUUUCUGACUUUUCUGAAUUCUUAGUGCUGACUGUUACAAGUGAUCUGUAUAAUUUUCUACUACGAAGUAAUGAAAACCCGUGCCUUCUGUUAAUAAAAUCAUCAUGGCCAGGGAGAUACACCAGAUUCCAUGAAGGUCUUUUGGAAGUUUCUUCUGCAAAGAAAUUUAAGUAAGCAUUGGCUGGAAGGUGUUCGCUAUGCUGCGUUUGGUUUGGGUGAUUCUGGUUGUCAGAAAUAUAAUGUAAUAAUUUCUAGAGUUUUAUUUAUUAUUUAGAAAAUAGAUAAAGGUUGACAUCUGUGGGUUUGUUAUGCAAUUUAUGUUAUCAAUCACCAUGCUAUAAAAAUUGUGAAGUUUUUUU
Quercus lobata is the source of this 824-nucleotide long non-coding RNA. RefSeq lists it as uncharacterized. Lineage: Eukaryota; Viridiplantae; Streptophyta; Magnoliopsida; Fagales; Fagaceae. The transcript is spliced from 3 exons. The record is from RefSeq and is a predicted model, not a curated record.